GCUGGGUGUAGCUUAUUGGCAUAGCACUUGCCUAGCAUGAAUGAGGUGCUGGGUUUGAUUCCCCAGCACUGCA
This 73-nucleotide transfer RNA is filed under the name Marmota monax (woodchuck). Its description in RNAcentral is "tRNA.Ala". The record is from RNAcentral. Lineage: Eukaryota; Metazoa; Chordata; Mammalia; Rodentia; Sciuridae.